Molecule: ribosomal RNA, 250 nt
Filed under: uncultured bacterium
Lineage: Bacteria
Description: partial 16S ribosomal RNA
Rfam family: Bacterial small subunit ribosomal RNA
Source: RNAcentral
UACGUAGGCAGCAAGCGUUGUUCGGAAUUAUUGGGCGUAAAGAGUAUGUAGGUGGUGUCGUAAGUUUGGUGUGAAAUCUCCCGGCUUAACUGGGAGGGUGCGCCGAAGACUGCGAUGCUGGAGUAUGGGAGAGGGAAUCGGAAUUCCUGGUGUAGCGGUGAAAUGCGUAGAUAUCAGGAGGAACACCUGUGGUGUAGACGGGUUCCUGGACCAUUACUGACACUGAGAUACGAAAGCGUGGGUAGCAAAC